GUCCUCGUAACAUAAUGGAUAGUGUAGGUCCCUCCUAAGGAUCAAAUGUAGGUUCGAUUCCUACCGGGGACACCA
RNAcentral lists this transfer RNA (75 nucleotides) under Bacillota bacterium. RNAcentral describes it as "tRNA-Arg". It matches the Rfam family "tRNA". Rfam says of the family: Transfer RNA (tRNA) molecules are approximately 80 nucleotides in length. Their secondary structure includes four short double-helical elements and three loops (D, anti-codon, and T loops). The record is from RNAcentral. RNAcentral also lists the same sequence under 1 other name. Lineage: Bacteria; Bacillati; Bacillota.